This 606-nucleotide ribosomal RNA is filed under the name uncultured bacterium. RNAcentral describes it as "bacterial SSU rRNA". It matches the Rfam family "Bacterial small subunit ribosomal RNA", at positions 256 to 862 of the family's 1533-position model. The record is from RNAcentral.
GGUAACGGCCUACCAAGGGUACGAUCAGUAGGGGUUCUGAGAGGAUUAACCCCCACACUGGUACUGAGACACGGACCAGACUCCUACGGGAGGCAGCAGUGAGGAAUAUUGGUCAAUGGGCGGAAGCCUGAACCAGCCAUCCUGCGUGAAGGAAGACAGCCUUACGGGUUGUAAACUUCUUUUCUGUCAGAAGAAUAAGCUUGUCGAGACGAGUGAUGCCGGUAUGACAGGAAUAAGCAUCGGCUAACUCCGUGCCAGCAGCCGCGGUAAUACGGAGGAUGCAAGCGUUAUCCGGAUUUAUUGGGUUUAAAGGGUGCGCAGGUUGUUUGAUAAGUCAGUGGUGAAAGUCUGUCGCUUAACGGUAGGAUUGCCAUUGAUACUGUUGGACUUGAAUAUGGAUGAGGUAGGCGGAAUGUGUAGUGUAGCGGUGAAAUGCAUAGAUAUUACACAGAACACCGAUUGCGAAGGCAGCUUACUAAUCCAUCAUUGACGGUGAGGCAAGAAAGCGUGGGGAUCAAACAGGAUUAGAUACCCUGGUAGUCCACGCCGUAAACGAUGAUCACUCGCUGUUUGCGAUAUACAGUAAGCGGCUAAGCGAAAGCGUUA